UAGGGAAUCUUCGGCAAUGGGGGGAACCCUGACCGAGCAACGCCGCGUGAGUGAAGAAGGUUUUCGGAUCGUAAAGCUCUGUUGUUAAGGAAGAACGAGUGUGAGAAUGGAAAGUUCAUACUGUGACGGUACUUAACCAGAAAGGGACGACUAACUACGUGCCAGCAGCCGCGGUAAUACGUAGGGGGCUAGCGUUGUCCGGAAUCACUGGGCGUAAAGGGUUCGCAGGCGGAAAUGCAAGUCAGGUGUAAAAGGCAGUAGCUUAACUACUGUAAGCAUUUGAAACUGCAUAUCUUGAGAAGAGUAGAGGUAAGUGGAAUUUUUAGUGUAACGGUGAAAUGCGUAGAUAUUAAAAAGAAUACCGGUGGCGAAGGCGACUUACUGGGCUCAUUCUGACGCUGAGGAACGAAAGCGUGGGUAGCAAACAGG
This 429-nucleotide ribosomal RNA is filed under the name Bacteroidota bacterium. Its description in RNAcentral is "Bacteroidetes bacterium partial 16S ribosomal RNA". It matches the Rfam family "Bacterial small subunit ribosomal RNA", at positions 355 to 776 of the family's 1533-position model. The record is from RNAcentral. Lineage: Bacteria; Pseudomonadati; Bacteroidota.